RNAcentral lists this unclassified non-coding RNA (336 nucleotides) under soil metagenome. RNAcentral describes it as "partial contains 5.8S ribosomal RNA, internal transcribed spacer 2, and large subunit ribosomal RNA". The stretch from base 1 to 120 matches the Rfam family "5.8S ribosomal RNA", at positions 35 to 154 of the family's 154-position model. The record is from RNAcentral.
GAUGAAGAACGUAGUGAAAUGCGAUAAGUAGUGUGAAUUGCAGAAUUCAGUGAAUCAUCGAAUCUUUGAACGCGCAUUGCGCCCCUUGGUAUUCCAUGGGGCAUGCCUGUUCGAGCGUCAUUUGUACCUUCAAGCUUUGCUUGGUGUUGGGUGUUUGUCUCGCCUUUGCGUGUAGACUCGCCUUAAAAUAAUUGGCAGCCGGCGUAUUGAUUUCGGAGCGCAGUACAUCUCGCGCUUUGCACUCAUAACGACAGCGUCCAAAAGUACAUUUUACACUCUUGACCUCGGAUCAGGUAGGGAUACCCGCUGAACUUAAGCAUAUCAAUAAGCGGAGGA